Molecule: ribosomal RNA, 584 nt
Filed under: Nigrospora sphaerica
Lineage: Eukaryota; Fungi; Ascomycota; Sordariomycetes; Amphisphaeriales; Apiosporaceae
Description: eukaryotic LSU rRNA
Rfam family: 5.8S ribosomal RNA (bases 214-367)
Source: RNAcentral
GGUUUGGGAAGUAAAAAAUCGUAACAAGGUCUCCGUUGGUGAACCAGCGGAGGGAUCAUUACAGAGUUAUCCAACUCCAAACCCAUGUGAACUUAUCUCUUUGUUGCCUCGGCGCAAGCUACCCGGGACCUCGCGCCCCGGGGGGCCCGCCGGCGGACAAACCAAACUCUGUUAUCUUCGUUGAUUAUCUGAGUGUCUUAUUUAAUAAGUCAAAACUUUCAACAACGGAUCUCUUGGUUCUGGCAUCGAUGAAGAACGCAGCGAAAUGCGAUAAGUAAUGUGAAUUGCAGAAUUCAGUGAAUCAUCGAAUCUUUGAACGCACAUUGCGCCCAUUAGUAUUCUAGUGGGCAUGCCUGUUCGAGCGUCAUUUCAACCCCUAAGCACAGCUUAUUGUUGGGACUCUACGGCUUCGUAGUUCCCCAAAGACAUUGGCGGAGUGGCAGCAGUCCUCUGAGCGUAGUAAUUCUUUAUCUCGCUUUUGUUAGGCGCUGCCCCCCCGGCCGUAAAACCCCCAAUUUUUUCUGGUUGACCUCGGAUCAGGUAGGAAUACCCGCUGAACUUAAGCAUAUCAAUAAGCGGAGGAA